Molecule: ribosomal RNA, 434 nt
Filed under: uncultured bacterium
Lineage: Bacteria
Description: bacterial SSU rRNA
Rfam family: Bacterial small subunit ribosomal RNA
Source: RNAcentral
AAUCCUGGUGGCGAGUGGCGAACGGGUAGAGUAAAUAUAGUCGACGUGCCCAGUCGUGGGGGGAUAACGUAGCGAAAGCUACGCUAAUACCGCAUACGAUCUAUGGAUGAAAGCGGGGGAUCGCAAGACCUCGCGCGAUUGGAGCGGCCGAUAUCAGAUUAGGUAGUUGGUGAGGUAAAGGCUCACCAAGCCGACGAUCUGUAGCUGGUCUGAGAGACGACCAGGCCACACUGGGACUGACGACACGGCCCAGACUCCUACGGGAGGCAGCAGUGGGGGAAUUUUGGACAAUGGGCGCAAGCCUGAUCCAGCAAUGCCGCGUGCAGGAUGAAGGCCUUCGGGUUGUAAACUGCUUUUGUACGGAACGAAACGGUGAGCUCUAAUACAGUUUGCUAAUGACGGUACCGUAAGAAUAAGCACCGGCUAACUACGUG